Molecule: ribosomal RNA, 253 nt
Filed under: uncultured bacterium
Lineage: Bacteria
Description: partial 16S ribosomal RNA
Rfam family: Bacterial small subunit ribosomal RNA
Source: RNAcentral
UACAGAGGUCUCAAGCGUUGUUCGGAUUCAUUGGGCGUAAAGGGUGCGUAGGCGGCGCGGUAAGUCGGGUGUGAAAUUUCGGAGCUUAACUCCGAAACUGCAUUCGAUACUGCGGUGCUUGAGGACUGGAGAGGAGACUGGAAUUCAUGGUGUAGCAGUGAAAUGCGUAGAUAUCGAGAGGAACACCAGUGGCGAAGGCGAGUCCCUGGACAACACCUGACACUGAGGCACGAAAGCUAGGGGAGCAAACAGG